GUAAAUAUAGUUUAAAUAAAAUAUUAGAUUGUGAAUCUAACAACAGAAGAAUAGAAGCUUCUUAUUUACC
Molecule: transfer RNA, 70 nt
Filed under: Proechimys echinothrix
Lineage: Eukaryota; Metazoa; Chordata; Mammalia; Rodentia; Echimyidae
Description: tRNA-His
Rfam family: tRNA
About the family: Transfer RNA (tRNA) molecules are approximately 80 nucleotides in length. Their secondary structure includes four short double-helical elements and three loops (D, anti-codon, and T loops).
Source: RNAcentral